RNAcentral lists this ribosomal RNA (1297 nucleotides) under Staphylococcus aureus. Its description in RNAcentral is "partial 23S ribosomal RNA". It matches the Rfam family "Bacterial large subunit ribosomal RNA", at positions 940 to 2238 of the family's 2925-position model. The record is from RNAcentral. Lineage: Bacteria; Bacillati; Bacillota; Bacilli; Caryophanales; Staphylococcaceae.
CGAAUUCAGACAAACUCCGAAUGCCAAUUAAUUUAACUUGGGAGUCAGAACAUGGGUGAUAAGGUCCGUGUUCGAAAGGGAAACAGCCCAGACCACCAGCUAAGGUCCCAAAAUAUAUGUUAAGUGGAAAAGGAUGUGGCGUUGCCCAGACAACUAGGAUGUUGGCUUAGAAGCAGCCAUCAUUUAAAGAGUGCGUAAUAGCUCACUAGUCGAGUGACACUGCGCCGAAAAUGUACCGGGGCUAAACAUAUUACCGAAGCUGUGGAUUGUCCUUUGGACAAUGGUAGGAGAGCGUUCUAAGGGCGUUGAAGCAUGAUCGUAAGGACAUGUGGAGCGCUUAGAAGUGAGAAUGCCGGUGUGAGUAGCGAAAGACGGGUGAGAAUCCCGUCCACCGAUUGACUAAGGUUUCCAGAGGAAGGCUCGUCCGCUCUGGGUUAGUCGGGUCCUAAGCUGAGGCCGACAGGCGUAGGCGAUGGAUAACAGGUUGAUAUUCCUGUACCACCUAUAAUCGUUUUAAUCGAUGGGGGGACGCAGUAGGAUAGGCGAAGCGUGCGAUUGGAUUGCACGUCUAAGCAGUAAGGCUGAGUAUUAGGCAAAUCCGGUACUCGUUAAGGCUGAGCUGUGAUGGGGAGAAGACAUUGAGUCUUCGAGUCGUUGAUUUCACACUGCCGAGAAAAGCCUCUAGAUAGAAAAUAGGUGCCCGUACCGCAAACCGACACAGGUAGUCAAGAUGAGAAUUCUAAGGUGAGCGAGCGAACUCUCGUUAAGGAACUCGGCAAAAUGACCCCGUAACUUCGGGAGAAGGGGUGCUCUUUAGGGUUAACGCCCAGAAGAGCCGCAGUGAAUAGGCCCAAGCGACUGUUUAUCAAAAACACAGGUCUCUGCUAAACCGUAAGGUGAUGUAUAGGGGCUGACGCCUGCCCGGUGCUGGAAGGUUAAGAGGAGUGGUUAGCUUCUGCGAAGCUACGAAUCGAAGCCCCAGUAAACGGCGGCCGUAACUAUAACGGUCCUAAGGUAGCGAAAUUCCUUGUCGGGUAAGUUCCGACCCGCACGAAAGGCGUAACGAUUUGGGCACUGUCUCAACGAGAGACUCGGUGAAAUCAUAGUACCUGUGAAGAUGCAGGUUACCCGCGACAGGACGGAAAGACCCCGUGGAGCUUUACUGUAGCCUGAUAUUGAAAUUCGGCACAGCUUGUACAGGAUAGGUAGGAGCCUUUGAAACGUGAGCGCUAGCUUACGUGGAGGCGCUGGUGGGAUACUACCCUAGCUGUGUUGGCUUUCUAACCCGCACCACUUA